GGAGUCUAGCAUGUACGCGAGUCAUUGGGACUAGCGAAACCUAAAGGCGAAAUGAAAGUGAAAGUCGGCCUCGCGCCGACCCAGGGAGGAUGGGCCGCGUCACGGCGCGGCCCCGCACUCCCGGGGCGUCUCGUUCUCAUUGCGAGAGGAGGCGCACCAAGAGCGUACACGCUGGGACCCGAAAGAUGGUGAACUAUGCCUGGUCAGGACGAAGUCAGGGGAAACCCUGAUGGAGGUCCGAAGCGAUUCUGACGUGCAAAUCGAUCGUCGGAACUGGGUAUAGGGGCGAAAGACUAAUCGAACCAUCUAGUAGCUGGUUCCCUCCGAAGUUUCCCUCAGGAUAGCUGGCGCUCGCUUUUGCGAGUCUCAUCUGGUAAAGCGAAUGAUUAGAGGCAUUGGGGUCGAAACGGCCUCAACCUAUUCUCAAACUUUAAAUGGGUGAGAUCUCCGGCUUGCUUGAAACGUGAAGCCGCGAGAUCGGAUCAGAGUGCCAAGUGGGCCAUUUUUGGUAAGCAGAACUGGCGCUGUGGGAUGAACCAAACGCAGAGUUAAAGCUCCAAAAUCGACGCUUAUGGGAUACCAUGAAAGGCGUUGGUAACUUAAGACAGCAGGACGGUGGCCAUGGAA
This 627-nucleotide ribosomal RNA is filed under the name Macrolibnetis sp. UPOL 000L21. RNAcentral describes it as "eukaryotic LSU rRNA". It matches the Rfam family "Eukaryotic large subunit ribosomal RNA", at positions 670 to 1259 of the family's 3401-position model. Lineage: Eukaryota; Metazoa; Arthropoda; Insecta; Coleoptera; Lycidae. The record is from RNAcentral. RNAcentral also lists the same sequence under 1 other name.